This 83-nucleotide transfer RNA is filed under the name Bacillota bacterium. Its description in RNAcentral is "Firmicutes bacterium tRNA-Leu". It matches the Rfam family "tRNA". Rfam says of the family: Transfer RNA (tRNA) molecules are approximately 80 nucleotides in length. Their secondary structure includes four short double-helical elements and three loops (D, anti-codon, and T loops). The record is from RNAcentral. Lineage: Bacteria; Bacillati; Bacillota.
GCGGGCGUGGCGGAAUUGGCAGACGCGACAGACUUAGGAUCUGUUUCGGAAGAGUGGGAGUUCAAAUCUCUUCGCCCGCACCA